CGGGCUGUAGUAUAUCGGCAGUAUACACGCUUCGGGUGCGUGAGGGCUGGGUUCGAUUCCCAGCAGCCCGA
RNAcentral lists this transfer RNA (71 nucleotides) under bacterium. RNAcentral's name for it is "tRNA-Pro". It matches the Rfam family "tRNA". Rfam says of the family: Transfer RNA (tRNA) molecules are approximately 80 nucleotides in length. Their secondary structure includes four short double-helical elements and three loops (D, anti-codon, and T loops). Further hydrogen bonds mediate the characteristic L-shaped molecular structure. tRNAs have two regions of fundamental functional importance: the anti-codon, which is responsible for specific mRNA codon recognition, and the 3' end, to which the tRNAs corresponding amino acid is attached (by aminoacyl-tRNA synthetases). tRNAs cope with the degeneracy of the genetic code in two manners: having more than one tRNA (with a specific anti-codon) for a particular amino acid; and 'wobble' base-pairing, i.e. permitting non-standard base-pairing at the 3rd anti-codon position. The record is from RNAcentral.